Molecule: long non-coding RNA, 288 nt
Filed under: Salvia miltiorrhiza (redroot sage)
Lineage: Eukaryota; Viridiplantae; Streptophyta; Magnoliopsida; Lamiales; Lamiaceae
Description: long non-coding RNA (SMIL_LNC012471)
Source: RNAcentral
CAAGGACGCAGAAGCUUGAAGAGGAAGCUUGCACCUUACUACGACAAUAUUCACCGACCUCGUGAGGUCCCUUUAAGCCUGGAGGAGGAGUCUGAGUCCAGUUCGAGAACCCUUGUGGAAUCACAGUCUCGAGAGGGAGACCGUGAAGAGAGAAUUGCUACCAAUCCCAUCCUGGAAGCCAUUGAGGAGACGCUUACAGAGCACUCUGAAGAAGAAGAAGAAGCUCGGCCCAAUCUUGACCAAGAAGCAAUGGCGGAGCAGAAUGUCCAGUACAUGGGAGAUUUUUCC